RNAcentral lists this transfer RNA (72 nucleotides) under Microbacterium sp. 69-10. RNAcentral describes it as "tRNA-Val". It matches the Rfam family "tRNA". Rfam says of the family: Transfer RNA (tRNA) molecules are approximately 80 nucleotides in length. The record is from RNAcentral. Lineage: Bacteria; Bacillati; Actinomycetota; Actinomycetes; Micrococcales; Microbacteriaceae.
GGCCGGUUGGCGCAGCGGUAGCGCAAUUCGUUUACACCGAAGAGGUCACCGGUUCGAUCCCGGUACCGGCCA